GAUGAACGCUGGCGGCGUGCUUAACACAUGCAAGUCGAACGAUGAAGCCCAGCUUGCUGGGUGGAUUAGUGGCGAACGGGUGAGUAACACGUGAGUAACCUGCCCUUAACUCUGGGAUAAGCCUGGGAAACUGGGUCUAAUACCGGAUAGGAGCGUCCACCGCAUGGUGGGUGUUGGAAAGAUUUAUCGGUUUUGGAUGGACUCGCGGCCUAUCAGCUUGUUGGUGGGGUAAUGGCUCACCAAGGCGACGACGGGUAGCCGGCCUGAGAGGGUGACCGGCCACACUGGGACUGAGACACGGCCCAGACUCCUACGGGAGGCAGCAGUGGGGAAUAUUGCACAAUGGGCGAAAGCCUGAUGCAGCGACGCCGCGUGAGGGAUGACGGCCUUCGGGUUGUAAACCUCUUUCAGUAGGGAAGAAGCGAAAGUGACGGUACCUGCAGAAGAAGCACCGGCUAACUACGUG
RNAcentral lists this ribosomal RNA (466 nucleotides) under uncultured bacterium. Its description in RNAcentral is "partial 16S ribosomal RNA". It matches the Rfam family "Bacterial small subunit ribosomal RNA", at positions 28 to 507 of the family's 1533-position model. The record is from RNAcentral.